RNAcentral lists this long non-coding RNA (225 nucleotides) under Lathyrus oleraceus (garden pea). Its description in RNAcentral is "Pisum sativum (pea) long non-coding RNA (PSAT_LNC016443)". The record is from RNAcentral. Lineage: Eukaryota; Viridiplantae; Streptophyta; Magnoliopsida; Fabales; Fabaceae.
UUCAACUGAAGAGCGCAUGAGACAUAUUAUCUAUUACCGUCAUAACGUAGAUAAUAUACUCGCAUGGAAGAUUAUCCACAACUGAUUACUAGGUUAAUGAAGGAUAAUUCGACCGAAAAGAAAGGACAUCAGGAUACCGGUUACUGGGUGUGAAAUGAUGACCAAUCCGAAGGAGAAACUAUCAUUAACAAACAAGGCUAAAUGAAAGAUGACUAGCAAGGGAUA